This 27-nucleotide non-coding RNA is filed under the name Rattus norvegicus (Norway rat). Lineage: Eukaryota; Metazoa; Chordata; Mammalia; Rodentia; Muridae. The record is from RNAcentral.
UGAAAACAUCAUUUUAUGGACACAAGU